UACGGGGGGGGCAAGCGUUGUUCGGAAUUACUGGGCGUAAAGGGCUCGUAGGUGGCCAACUAAGUCAGACGUGAAAUCCCUCGGCUUAACCGGGGAACUGCGUCUGAUACUGGAUGGCUUGAGUUUGGGAGAGGGACGCGGAAUUCCAGGUGUAGCGGUGAAAUGCGUAGAUAUCUGGAGGAACACCGGUGGCGAAGGCGGCGUCCUGGACCAAUACUGACACUGAGUGAGCGAAAGCUAGGGGAGCAAAUGGG
RNAcentral lists this ribosomal RNA (254 nucleotides) under uncultured bacterium. Its description in RNAcentral is "partial 16S ribosomal RNA". It matches the Rfam family "Bacterial small subunit ribosomal RNA", at positions 524 to 776 of the family's 1533-position model. The record is from RNAcentral.